GCCCCCGUUGUCUAAUGGUUAUGACGUCAGACUUCUAAUCUGGAGGUUGCGGGUUCGAGUCCCGCCGGGGGUU
Molecule: non-coding RNA, 73 nt
Organism: Lentinula detonsa
Lineage: Eukaryota; Fungi; Basidiomycota; Agaricomycetes; Agaricales; Omphalotaceae
Source: the annotation of a GenBank genome assembly